GCAUUAAUGGGGUAGUGGUAACCUGGGUCGUUGCCAUACCCGUAUUUGGCUAUUGGAUUCGACCCGCCGGGGGUUCGAUUCCCUCUUAAUGCA
This is a non-coding RNA of Paramarasmius palmivorus, 93 nucleotides long. Lineage: Eukaryota; Fungi; Basidiomycota; Agaricomycetes; Agaricales; Marasmiaceae. The record is from the annotation of a GenBank genome assembly.